Molecule: non-coding RNA, 87 nt
Filed under: Desulfosporosinus sp.
Lineage: Bacteria; Bacillati; Bacillota; Clostridia; Eubacteriales; Desulfitobacteriaceae
Description: NiCo sequence
Rfam family: NiCo (Nickel/Cobalt) riboswitch aptamer
Source: RNAcentral
ACAGUACAAACUAAGCAGAACUUAUACUUAAGUACGUGGGGCUGGGCCUAAAUAGGCAGCAGGAUUUUUAUAACCAGUGGGGCAGGA